GUUAAUGUAGCAAAUCCUGGUAUUGCAAAAGCCCUAAACCCUUUCUAAAGAGGUUCAAAUCCUCUCAUUAACU
Molecule: transfer RNA, 73 nt
Filed under: Nyctimystes narinosus (common big-eyed treefrog)
Lineage: Eukaryota; Metazoa; Chordata; Amphibia; Anura; Pelodryadidae
Description: tRNA-Leu
Rfam family: tRNA
About the family: Transfer RNA (tRNA) molecules are approximately 80 nucleotides in length. Their secondary structure includes four short double-helical elements and three loops (D, anti-codon, and T loops). Further hydrogen bonds mediate the characteristic L-shaped molecular structure. tRNAs have two regions of fundamental functional importance: the anti-codon, which is responsible for specific mRNA codon recognition, and the 3' end, to which the tRNAs corresponding amino acid is attached (by aminoacyl-tRNA synthetases). tRNAs cope with the degeneracy of the genetic code in two manners: having more than one tRNA (with a specific anti-codon) for a particular amino acid; and 'wobble' base-pairing, i.e. permitting non-standard base-pairing at the 3rd anti-codon position.
Source: RNAcentral